AGCUGCCUGCGGGGCCACCUCGGGGAAACUUGAGGGUUGGUUUUACUCGUAGCUAGUCUCAUCUGAGUGUGCCCUGAGAAAGAGAUAUGUGCAGCUCCUAUCGGGAUUUGUCGGCACAUUCGGGCGGUGUUGCUGGUUUAGUUUUACCCUGUCGAAAUGUCUUGUUGUACCGGGAUACCGAGUCUGAUCGGAGUGUCUCGGGUGGAGGUCUAUUCCUCCGUUGACCGUGAGAGCUUGUCAUGGGCUAAGUUGGGACACCCCUGCAGGGAUUUGAACUUUUGAAAGCCGUGCCCGCGGUUAUGGGCAGAUGGGAAUUUGUUAACGUCCGGUUGUAGAAAACCCGAAGUUGAUCUUAAUUAAAAUACACCAACCGCGUGUGUAACCGUGAUGGUCUCUUCUCGGCGGAGUCCGGAAAGUGAACACGGUGUUGGAGUUAUGUUUGACGUAGGUUGCUAUAGGAUCACUUCUUGAUCAUACUUUUAUCGACCGUGCUUAGCCUUCUCUUCUCGCUCUCAUUUGCGUAUGUUAGCCACCAUAUAUGCUAGUCGCUUGCUGUAGUUCACCUAAUUACUCCAUCCUUCCUUUAAGCUUAAAUAGUCUUGAUCUCGCGGGUGCGAGAUUGCUGAGUCCCUGUGGCUCACAGAUACUUCCAAAACCAGUUUGCAGGUGCCUAUGUUACCGAGCAGGUGACGCAACCAAGCUCAAGGAGGAGCUCGAUGAAGAUCUUGCCCUUUGUGUUGUUUUUGUUCUAGUUGAUCAGUAGUGGAGCCCAGUUGGGGUCGAUCGGGGACCUUUGUCGCAUUUGGGGUUCUUCUUUUAUUUUGGUUCCGUAGUCGGACCUUGAUUGUAUCUGGAUGAUGUAAUGCUUUAUUCAUGUAAUUGUGUGAAGUGGCGAUUGUAAGCCAGCUAUGUAUCUCUUUCCCUUAUGUAUUACAUGGGUUGUGUGAAGAUUACCUCACUUGCGACAUUGCUUUCAAUGCGGUUAUGCCUCUAAGUCGUGCUUCGACACGUGGGAGAUAUAGCCGCAUCGAGGGCGUUACAAGUUGGUAAUCAGAGCCUUCCCCGACCUUAGGAGCCCCAUUGCUUGAUCGUUUUUAGCGGCCGAGUUGUGUCUAGAAAAAUAUUUUGAGUCAUUUAGGAUUAUAUAUAUCGGAGAGUUAGGAAUUCUUUUUACUCCCCAGUCUCCUCAUCGCUCUGGUAAGGCAUCCUGACGUAGAUUUUUGACUCUUCUCUUCUCAAAUUUCACUAAUUUUUUUUAGGAUCACGCGGGUAUCUUGGAAUCGUUCCGAUGGUUUUAUGAUGAGAACAUUGUCUUGGUGCCUCCUGUCAGGGGUUUAGUGGAAGUGUCCCGGGGAGUUGAGCUCUGAGGUGUUGUCGUCAUAAUUUUAUCGUUGCAGUUCUGGAAUACCUGAGUUUAGUACGCCGACAUCGAAAAUCUCUUUUAUGCAGUUGUUGGUGAGAUAACCCCGAUAACCCAGUACUGAGGUGAGUACGGGAGUAUUGCCAUAACUUGUAUAAUGGAUGCUUUUCGAAGGUUGAGGUAGACGAUUUCCGAAGGUUUCUUGGUUAUGUGUUGAUGGAUGGAUACAGCUGGAUGUAGGAUUUGUUAGUUUUGGGUGAGAUAUUAUGCUUCCCCUGUAUCCCCAACACCUGAUUGCAUAACCGGAAAAUUUCGGGAGUUUCAUAGGUGGGGAUUCAAGUAGCUCUUAGGAUAUCUUUCUGACGGAUGUAUGAUAUGAAAUUGGGGUUCGACGUCUAGUGGUCCGCCUAUUCACGGUUGGUUUUACAGUGGUCUCGUUGUGUCUUAAAGAGUCCUUGGCUAUGCCGACUCGGGGACGCUUCGUAUGUCAUGUGCACUGCCUUGUACAUGAUGGUGCUGUACGAUCGAGCCCGUGUAGGCCCCACCACGAAAACUUCGGACGAGAUCUCUAUCAUAUGUUUGUUCCGGCUUAUUCUGCAAGCCAAUCCUUUGUUUUGUUUUUGUUGUGGUAUUCGAGUUGCUUCGAGUCAAAUGUUGAUUCCAUACCUUUUCCAAAUGGUGUUCUCAUAUUCCUAUGUGAAUACUAAUCCUUCUUGAUCAUCGAGAUUGUCUUGCCAAUCCUUUUCAACCAGUGUGUCUCUCUUCAAGUGGAUCCGAUCAUUCUUCCCAUCCGCAAGAUCAAUUCUAAGUUUUCUCAACGGUGUUCAUUCCAACUGCCCCAAGUUGCCUUUGUUUUUCCCGCCCUCCCACCCUUUUUGUUCAAGGACUAAGAUUUCUUCUUCAAGUAUCCAUUUUAUUGAUGGGAAGUUUCUCCAUUCUUUUCUGUCAAUGUUCUUACCCGGUGGUUCUCAAGAAGAUGUUCUACUAGUUCGUCAUUCCUCGUUCUUUUCUUCUCCGGUGGAUUUAAUUCAAGCUUUGGUAUUAAGCAUACUCCUUUUCUUUUUUUCCAAUGCUUUUCUUAUGCCGGUGCACCUCUUAAUCAUCCAUCUCUCGCUAUUAAAUUGUUCCGGAGUGCUCAAGUUAUCUCGAAGAUUCGUGUUUCCACUCUGCAUUAGUUCAAGCUCUUUCGAGAUUGGUAUCUCAUUCAAGUCAUUUAAUUCAACCGGUGCAACAUCUCUUUUAAAUCUUUUCAACGGUGUUCUUUUGAGUGGGCCCUAACCCACAGGUCUUUUCCCAGGAUCUUACCUGACUCUUCUAUUUUCCCAGAGCUAUCCUAAAUUCUUCUCCAAGUUUGACGUAAGAAUGAGUUAUCAUUAGUCAAAUGCUUUUCUCCAAGAUCUUUCAAAUUCUUUUCAUAGUUGGCUCAACCUCUUCGCUUUUGAUUCUUCCGGUGUGCCUCAAUAAUUCUUGGUGGUGUUUCUCGUUGUCAUUCUCAUCAUUUGAAGACCGAAGAAGAGUUUCUCUUUAUUCUUGCUCUAUUCUCUUCAAGAUUCAUGGUGCUAGCUUGUUGCCAUCCUCUCAUAAUUGUUUUCGAUUGUGAGAAUCUUUUUCACCCAUCAGGAGAUAUUCAAGAGUCUUCUCAGUUUGUCAUUCGGAGUCCAUCAAUUCAGGUUUAUUCAUUCUCAGCCGUCAGUUAUCAUUCUCCUAUCUUGCCGGUGCAUCUAUCGAAUAUCCUCUAAUCAGUUCUUGAUCUCUUUGUUCUCAUGUAUCUAGUUUGUCUCAAGCACCUUCGUUCAUUUGCUAAUUCUAACCAGUGAUGCACCCCUACUUCGAUCAUUUUCAAUUCUUACGGUGGUUCUUUCAAGAUCUCUCUUCCUUGUUCAUCAUAUCAAUUCAUUUGUUGUUCCAAUCCUACCGGUGGUUCGUUGAAGACCUUCUCAAGUUUACGCUAUAUCUCUUUUAAUCCUUUCUACGAGAAUAAGUAGUAUGCCAAAUCCGUUGAUUGUCAUCAAUUUAAUUGGUGAAGGAUAAGCAUAACAUAAUUCUUAUUCUUGUUCAUCCAAGUGAUUAAUUCUUUAUUCCGGAGGCCCUUAAAAUUCUCGGUUUCAUUUGUUUCAUCUUCUCUUUUUCCCGGAGUUCCAAGCUCUAAUUAUCACGGAGAUCCAUCUAAAUCAUUGCAAGGAUUCACCUUGUGUUUUCAAUUUCUCUUUCUUUUCAUUCCUUUUGUUUACCGGAGUUCUUCAUGGAGGUUCUACAUGACGAUUCAUCAAGGAUUUAAUUCCUUCUCAAAGUUUUCAUCAAGAUUCAUUGCUAGGGAGCUCAAGCUUUCUUCAUAUUGUAAUCCGGAGUGCAAUUUCUUUCUACCAUAUUAUCGGAGGUGGUAUUAUGUCAUUCUUGAUAAUUUGAGUUCAUGUUUUCCAUGAUUCACAUGUUGUUAAGAAUGAGUUAUUUUUAAAUCCAUCAACCUCGUUGUUGGAGUUAUCUUGUGUCAUAUUUCACCUAAAAGCCUUCCAUUGGGAAUGUUGCUAUUUGUGGUGCUUGCCAAUGAUUCAAGUUAUCUCUUUAUCAUCUUGGUGGAAGAAGUGUUCAUCUCUUUGUCGAUCUAAAGCUAGCAAUCGUUUCCGUUAGUGGCAGGUUGUCACCUCAUUAUUUGAGAUGUACUCCACAAGACCAUAGCAAGCUUAUCUUUUCGUUGUUGGUUUUCCAACAACUCCGUUCUAGCAUUUGUUGUUAUCGUGCUCUCUCAAGAUCUUGUUUCACUUCGUUCAUUCCAUUCCACUCUUUCUUCUAUUCCGGAGGCAUUGUGAUGCUCCUCUCUGCAACCCAUCUUCUUGUUUUGUCAGGAUCAUGUUCUUUUCUUGACUUAUCCAUUCAACCGGAGUGUUGUGUUCCUUUUGCUCAAGUUCUCUCAUUUUAUCAAGUCUUGCAUCUCUGUUCAACCAGAGUGCUGCCCGAAUUCUUCCUCUCUGAUCUUGUUUUAACCGGAGUGAUUUCGAAUUCUAUCUUGUCCAUCAAACUCUUGAUUCAUGUCUUUGCAACCUUCAAGUCCUCGUAAUGUUCCUUGUUCCUCUUUUCUAACGGAUUGUUUGCAAUCUCGUUCGUCUCUGCUGUACUCUUUCUUUUAAAUUGCUCAACCUCUCAAGGUUCAUGGUUUCACUCAUUGGUCAAAGAAGCAACUUAGUUUUACCGCUUCUCUUUCCCUUUCGUUUUCCCUCCGGUGCCAUUCUAGAUCUCGGGACGAGAUCCUCUUGUAGUGGUGGAGUGUUGUAACGCCCCGAGACCGACGUUCCAGAAGACUUCCAGCUACUCCGAGUUUCAUUGUGUGAUUUUGUUUUGUUCGUGCAUUCAUCUCUGCAUCAUUUGCAUUGCAUCAUGCCAUCAUAUCAUUAAUUUUUAAAACCUCAACUAAAUAAAUUGUAUGGAUUUUUCGAUCCAUUUAAAUCGAGGGAAUUCACUCGUGAUUUCUCUUUAUAACAUAUUAAAGCCUCUCAAUAUUAUUAGGGAGCUAUAUUAAAAAUUCCACUAUUUUGGAAUCACCAAAACACACUUACAAAAUAAUUUCGUUCCUUUUCUGCUUCAAGUUUGGUCUCCAACCUUGCCAAUAUUUAUUUCAUCAUUUUCCGGAGCUCCACCAAAAAUCCGAACAUUUUUGGACACUUCUAAAUCCUAGUCCUUGUUCAAACCAUUUGAAUUAAAUUCAAAUGACUUUGAAUUUAAUUCUUGCAAUCUUGCCCACUCCAUUUUUCUUGGGACAAGCGCAUUUUUGCGAGUCUGGGAAAAUUAUCCCCGUGCCCAACUCUUUCUCUAACCUUUCUUUUCUUCCCUUUUUUCUUUCUCUUUAUUUUCUGUUUUGAUAAGAGAAUUAGAGAUAUAGAGAGAGAAGGAGCCCUGCAGCCCAGCAGCCAGGCCGGCCCAUUUGCCUCUAGGCCCAGCCGCCCCGCUGCUCUAACCCUAGCCCGCACCGCAGCGCUCUCUCCCUCGCGCCGUCAUCUCUCUUUCCCUCGAUCUCUCCCUCCUGCACCCGCGCCUCUCGCCCGAUCCCCUCCUCCCUCGUUGCGCCGUCGCAGAGAGAGAGAGAGAAGAGCGCCGCGGCCUCGCCCUUCCUCCUCCGGCAUCGAGCGCCCCCGCUCCUCCUCGCCCUUCUCCUCGCCCUUCUCCUCGCCGCAUCGCCCGAUCCCCUCACUCGCUCGCCCCCUCCAUCCUCGUCCCAAUCGGGAGAGGCCCCCGAUCCACCGAAACCGUGAUCCGGCGCCCCCAGCCUCAUCAGCGCCCGUGCCUCCUCCUCCCUCCGUUCGACCUCAACCUCCAGGCCAUCUCCGCCGUGACCCGUCCGGCCAUCGCCCGCUCCGGUGACCCAUCGCCACCUGCCGCUGUCGGCGACCACCGGGAGGGCCACCUCGCGCGCGGCCCCGCCGCUAGCGUCCCUCGCGUCCAGGCUCCUUCCAUGGCCACGCCUCGCCGUCCGAGCUGCUGCUCCCGUCGGCCCUGCCAUUGCGCCUCCUCGCCGAGGCCACCUGGUUCAUCCUCCACGCCUUGGCCAACCCGACCCCAAGCUCCUGCUGCAGCCGCUUCUUCCCAGCUCCGCCCCUACUUCUCCGGCUUCGUCCCCGAUCGGACAGCAUCGACCGGCCCCGCCUCCAACGGCCGCAACUCCGGCCUCUCCAGCAGCACUCUUACACGCACCCCUCGUUUGCCUUCGAUCCCCAGCCCGAUGCCAAGACCGCAGCUCCAUGUCCCCGUGGCCGCCAAGCUCUCUUUCGGGGACCUCCUCAAGACCAGGAACGCCCUGACCGAGACCGACAAGUACCACUACGCGGAUUCGUCAAGUCCGACUACGAAGCAAAGACCAUUCACCACUACUGCCGCUGAGGGUUUCGUCAAGUUCAACUACAUCGACUACGAAUGGUGACGACCCCGAACAUCUACGAGAACAUGUACCACUACCGUCGCCGAAAACCGUCAAGUGUACCUCUACCUCGUCUUCGGAAUCGCUAAGAACGUCAAGUACCCCUUCGAGAUGACGAGAUCGACAAGUUCGAAUGACCCCAAGUACCUCUUCGAAACGACCGAGUACUAUUACCAUCGGACGCGUGAACGACUACUUCCUCUACUUCCGACGACGACCGCUCCGUGAACGACUACUUCCACUACGAACGCGUUCCGCCCCGAAUGCAUGCCUCGAAGGUAUAACCCCGAGACGACGCCCGUGAACGAAUGUUGCGUGUUGUAUGAAAUGCUCGUGUUUACUCCGUGUCGGAGUUGUUCGGAGCACGUUGCCCCUCUUUUGCCUUGCCACCGACAUGUGGGAACCUCGUAAUCGGGAGCACCCCACCAUCCUUGCAUGACACGCUCCCGUCACUUCCUUUUGCACCGGUAUCCCCGUGGGCUACCGGAGAACCGAUAUGUUGUCGUGGCAUCAAUUUCGGAUUCAUCGUCGUGGCACCCUUUUCCUUUCCACCACGAUGUCAAAUGCUUCAUAACAUGUUCAUGUUAUCGUUUUCAUAAAAUUGCUUAAAACUUGUAUAUGUCAUCCGCAUCAUGAUAACAACAUUUAAAAUGUUUAAACUUGUUGUUGCAUUAAAUUGCUAAAUGCAUAUGGGGAUUUACCGGAUUUGUUGUUUUUAUAUCCGGCCCCAUUUAAAUUGUUUAGAUGGUAUAGUUUAUAUUAUGCUUCACCUCUUGCCAUGUUUAACAACAGUUAAUAUUGUUGGGUAGCUUAAACGAGAGAUAACUAAAUAAUUGAUGUGGUGUUCCGUCAACAUGCACCUCAUUGCAUAUUGAGCUCCACUUAACUUGUAGUAUUGUUUGUUGCACUUUGCCAUGCCAUGCCUCAUUAAACCGGACAUGCAUCAUACUUGAUUGUGCAUCAUGCCAUGUUUAUGUGAUGUUUGUUUACUAUGUUGUUUGUUUCUUUCCGGGUUGCUUCUCUCGUUAGCUUCGGUUUCGUUCUGGAGUUGUGAGGAUUUGUUCGUCUACGACCGUUUGUCUUCUUCUUGGAUUCGUUCUUCUUCCUUGCGGGAUCUCAGGCAAGAUGAUCAUACCCUCGAAAUCACUACUAUCUUUGCUAUGCUAGUUUGCUCGCUCUUUUGCUAUGCCAAUGCUACGAUGCCUACCAUUUGCUUGUCAGCCUCCCAAAUUGCCAUGUCAAACCUCUAACCUUUGACACCAUUCCUAGCAAACCGUUGUUUGGCUAUGUUACCGCUUUGCUUAGCCCCUCUUAUAGCGUUGUUAGUUGCAGGUGAAGAUUGAAGUUUGUUCCUUGUUGGAACAUGGAGAUGUUGUUCCUUGUUGGAACAUGUUUACUUGUUGGGAUAUCACAAUAUAUCUUACUUAAUUAAUGCAUCUAUAUACUUGGUAAAGGGUGGAAGGCUCGGCCUUAUGCCUGGUGUUUUGUUCCACUCUUGCCGCCCUAGUUUCCGUCAUAUCGGUGUUAUGUUCCCGGAUUUUGCGUUCCUUACACGGUUGGGCUAUAAUGGGAACCCCUUGACAGUUCGCCUUAAGUAAAGCUCCUCCAGCAAUGCCCAACAUUGGUUUUACCAUUUGCGCUAACAACCUACCACCUUCCCUUGGGUUCUGCAGACUCAAGGGUCAUCUUUAUUCUAACCCCCCCGGGCCAGUGCUCCUCUGAGUGUUGGUCCGAACUGAGCUGCCUGCGGGGCCACCUCGGGGAAACUUGAGGGUUGGUUUUACUCGUAGCUAGUCUCAUCUGAGUGUGCCCUGAGAAAGAGAUAUGUGCAGCUCCUAUCGGGAUUUGUCGGCACAUUCGGGCGGUGUUGCUGGUUUAGUUUUACCCUGUCGAAAUGUCUUGUUGUACCGGGAUACCGAGUCUGAUCGGAGUGUCUCGGGUGGAGGUCUAUUCCUCCGUUGACCGUGAGAGCUUGUCAUGGGCUAAGUUGGGACACCCCUGCAGGGAUUUGAACUUUCGAAAGCCGUGCCCGCGGUUAUGGGCAGAUGGGAAUUUGUUAACGUCCGGUUGUAGAA
Molecule: long non-coding RNA, 8341 nt
Filed under: Triticum aestivum (bread wheat)
Lineage: Eukaryota; Viridiplantae; Streptophyta; Magnoliopsida; Poales; Poaceae
Description: long non-coding RNA (TAES_LNC019385)
Source: RNAcentral